Molecule: long non-coding RNA, 38219 nt
Filed under: Triticum aestivum (bread wheat)
Lineage: Eukaryota; Viridiplantae; Streptophyta; Magnoliopsida; Poales; Poaceae
Description: long non-coding RNA (TAES_LNC013977)
Source: RNAcentral
UUUUCUUCUUUUUUCUUCUUCUUAUUUAUUUCUCCUUUUCUUCCUCUCCUCUUGUUCUUUCUUUCCUCUUCUUAUUUUCUUCUUUCCUAUCCUUCUUUUCCUUCCUUUCUUAAAGCAAACCAUACAUAGAGUCACGUGCCAGAUUAUACAUACAUAGAGUCACGGGCCAGGUUAUACAUACAUAGUCACGGGCCAGGUUAUCCAAGGAGGAAGGUUAUACAUACAUAGAGUCACGGGCCAGGUGCUGUGAUUGCUGCUCUGCUCCCCGAAAGGAUUAAUGCCAUCCGCGCUUAAAGCAAACCAUACGUUCCUUGGGUCCUUUGCAAACUCACCCCAGUACUUUCUCUCGAUUUUCUCCAUCGCGACCCGUCAGCGGGUGCUCUCAACUUCCCGUCUUUCUUACGGUCCUUACUGUGCCAUCGCAUCAACUUGGCAUGCUCUCCGUUUUUGAACAGACGUUUCAACCGUGGUAUUAUAGGAGCAUCCCACAUCACCUUCGCGGGAACCCUCUUCCUGGGAUGCUCGUCGUCAACAUCACCAGGGUCAUCUCGUCUGAUCUUAUACCGCAAUGCACCACAUACCGGGCAUGCGUUCAGAUCCUUGUAUGCACCGCGGUAGAGGAUGAAGUCAUUAGGGCAUGCAUGUAUCUUCUCCACCUCCAAUCCUAGAGGGCAUACGACCUUCUUUGCUGCGUAUGUACUGUCGGGCAAUUCGUUAUCCUUUUGGAAGCUUCUUCUUCAUUAUUUUCAGUAGCUUCUCAAAUCCUUUAGUAGGCACAGCAUUCUCUGCCUUCCACUGCAGCAAUUCCAGUACGGUACCGAGCUUUGUGUUGCCAUCUUCACAAUUUGGGUACAACCCUUUUUUGUGAUCCUCUAACAUGCGAUCGAACUUCAGCUUCUCCUUUUGACUUUCACUUUGCGUCCUUGCAUCGACAAUGACCCGGUGGAGAUCAUCAUCAUCGGGCACAUCGUCUGGUUCCUCUUGAUCUUUAGCAGCUUCGCCCGUUGUAGCACCAUCGUGCACAUCGUCUGGUUCCUCUUGAUGUUCAGUACCGUCACCGUAUUCAGGGGGCACAUAGUUGUCAUCGUACUCUUCUUCUCCGCCGUCUUCCAUCAUAACCCCUAUUUCUCCGUGCCUCGUCCAAACAUUAUAGUGUGGCAUGAAACCCUUGUAAAGUAGGUGGGUGUGAAGGAUUUUCCGGUCAGAGUAAGACUUCGUAUUCCCACAUAUAGGGCAUGGACAACACAUAAAACCAUUCUGCUUGUUUGCCUCAGCCACUUUGAGAAAAUCAUGCACGCCCUUAAUGUAUUUGGAGGUGUGUCUGUCACCAUACAUCCAUUGCCGGUUCAUCUGCGUGCAUUAUAUAUAAUUAAGUGUGUCAAAAAUCAUUACAGAACAUCAUGAAUAGAUAAUUAAAUGACCAAAUUAAUAGAAGUUCAUCAUCACACCAAAACCAAAGUAUAUACAUAUAUAGUUCUCAUCUAACAACAUAAAGCUCUGCAUAGCAUCUAAAUUAAUUAAACCAUACAUUGAAACUAUGUAAAACAUUUCAAUGCGAAAACAAAUGCGAUCAUAAUUGCAACCAAGGUAACAACUGAUCCAACGGCAUAAUGAUACCAAGCCUCGGUAUGAAUGGCAUAUUUUCUAAUCUUUCUAAUCUUCAAGCGCAUUGCAUCCAUCUUGAUCUUGUGAUCAUCGACGAAAUCCGCAACAUGCAACUCCAAUAUCAUCUUCUCCUCCUCAAGUUUUUUUAUUUUUUCCUUCAAGAAAUUGUUUUCUUCUUCAACUAAAUUUAACCUCUCGACAAUAGGGUCGGUUUGAAUUUCCAGUUCAACAACCUCCUAGAUAAAUAAAAUCUAUGUCACGUUGGUCGGCAUAAUUCUCAUAAACAAUAAAUGAACCAAUAGUUAUGAAAAGAUAAUAUAUACCACAUCCGAAUCAUAGAUAGGACGAGGACCGACGGGGGCGGAUACCAAAACCACCGCACUAUAUAAGAUGCAAUAAUAAAAGUAAGAAAAUAAUACAAGUAUCUAUCUAAACAUACAAGUAAGAAUAUUUUUCCUUUCAGAAAGAAGAUAAGAACAAGAGGCUCACCACGGUGGUGCCGGCGAUGAGAUCGGCGCGGGUGAUCGACGGCGGUGAAGACGGGGACGGGGCGUGACGGAUCGCUAAACCUAGACAAAUAUUAAGGAAAAUGGAGCUUCGAGGUCGAGCUUGGAGAGGAGAAAGCUUAAGUAGUGUGGCUCGGGCAUUCCAUCGAACACCUUGUGUGCAUAGAAGGUGAGCUAGAGCACCACCAAGCCCUCUCCCCUCAGCUAAGAAAAAAAACAGAGCAGUGUGUUCUGCUCUUACGCGGGGGGUAUAUAUAGGCAACACUAUUGGUCCCGGUUCGCGGCAUGAACCGGGACUAAAGGGAAGCCAUUGGUCCCGGUUCAAGCCACCAACCGGGACCAAUGGUGGUGGGCCAGGAGCAAGACCCAUUGGUCCCCGUUCGUCCCACCAACCGGGACCAAAAGGUCCGGACGAACCGGGACCAAUGGCCCACGUGGCCCGGCCGGCCCCCUGGGCUCACGAACCGGGACAAAUACCUCCAUUGGUCCCGGUUCGUGGCAGAACCGGGACUAAUGGGCUGAACCGGUCUGGGCCAUUGCCCCCUUUUCUACUAGUGCUAAUUGCUGACAGAUAUGUAUUUUCACCAGUUAACUCAAUGCGUCAAGCAAAAUCUAGCAUUCUUUGCUGUGUACUGCAUGGAGAUGACACAGAUUGUCUGUCUUCAAUGGUAUUUUCAUGAAUACUGAUGUGUUCUAUACAACUAAUACAAUUCUCUUACAUAUUUAUUGUGAGAGAUUAUAGAUUAUACUUGGUUAGUUGCACCUUGGUAACUGUUCUGUUUUGGAAGAAUCUCUUUAGUCUUCUUUCGCUGACGAAAAUGGACUACAUUCCUUUUUAUAUCAACUCAAUUUUUCAUAAAUGUAUAUGUUUGCUCAGAUCGUAUGGCAGGUCGCGGAAAGGAUUAGAAUUAGUGUAGGUUAGGCAAGUUCCUGUUCUGUGUUUUGAAUCAUCUGUUCCACGAGAAUUUUGUUAUUCAAGAUGUGAUCAUUACUCUUUUUCCGCAUUUGGUUCAUGAUGCUUGGAUGUUGGAAGGCUUUAAUUAACUUUCUCGAAGUUACUACAUAUGGAUGACGAGGUGUAAAAUUGGAAUGAAGAAAAAGGUUUAAGAUUUCUACUUGUCUAAGCUCUCAAGACAAGUGAAAUUGAUCAUAUACCAUUAUUUGAAAGAUUAACUUAUUUAUUGAGAGAGGCAGGGAGGGAAAGAGGGGGAGGGGGAGGGAGAGAGAGGGGGGAGGGGUGGGGAGAGAUGUAUCUAUGUGUACUAAGUUGUUUUUGCUUGUUCAUUUCUGGCUUAGAUGUCAGUUGUCUUUAAUUCAUGUAGACGUAAUGUACAAUGGUUAAACACCAUUUUUCUAUGUCGUGAAAUCUUCUUAUAAAAAAUUCAAGUCUGGGUGUGUGUGGAUGGUGUGGCGAUUUGAGUCGGAUGCUCCAUUAUUAACAGUGACGGUGAGCUUGAAAGAAGAAGAAAAAGAAGCAGCAUGAGGAGGAGGAGAGCGACUUACUCCGAAAAAAUCACAAUUCCUCUUGAUGUAAAGGAGAAGAGUGACUUACCCACUAAUGAUAUACUCCCUCCAUUCUGAAAUAUAAGUCUUUUUAAAUAUUCCAAUAAGGGACUACAUACGGAUCAAAAUGAGUGAAUCUACACUAUAAAAUAUGUCUAUAUACAUCCAUAUGUUUGUAUUGAAAUCUCUAAAAAGACAUAUAUUUAAAAAUGGAGGGAGUAUAUUAGACAUAAUUGAUGUUGAACCACUAGACUAUGUGUGCCUCACGCAUGGACAGUUAUCCAAAAAAAAAGAAUCUAUACAUGUGAAAUUUGAUACAUUGUAUUCGUAGGUGUAAUAGUAGGUGUAAUAGGAAAAAAGUAAAUUAAAAGCCCGUGACAACACACGGGCAUUAUUGUUGUGUCCCAGCUGGCUGGUGUACCAUUAAUCUGGUUGUUGGGAUGCAGCGAUCGCCCAUCGAUUGCAAUUUGGAAACGAGCGCACCGUCCUGAUCAUGGAAAAGGAGAUGGAGCAGACACGAUCCACCUAUCACGCAUGGCAUGACGCUCCGUGUAUGACGUCGUGUGUCCAUCAAUCAACCAUAUAGUCGUACUGCAGUUGUUCAUAUCUAUCUUGUCAAAUUCAAGUGUUUCUCGCAUGUAUUUCCAAAUGCAUGGGCUGUCUCUAAAAAGUUAAAAUAAAUACCAGAUAUCCCUCCGGACGCCCAUGAGCAAGCUCAUCUCGUUGGCAGCAGCAGAGGCGGCAACGCUGAUGGCGGCCCCAGCAUCGACCUUGUUGCUGAUUGGUUCCUAGUGAAAGGAUAUAUUUUUUUUAUACUAAUUCAAGGAAUUAUCGUGGCCCUUGUUUUGCCUGUGAAAUAUCCGAGCAUCUUCCGGUGCUCACCAGACGGAAGGGAGGCAAGCAAAUAAUGUUGACUUUUGGCGGCCAAACGAUGAUAAUGUUAUUCUGGAAUUAAACAGCAAAACAAAAUAGAUAUUUUAGAAGCAACAAACCGAGAAUAGUCUGCUGUAGAAAAGAAAAGAAAAGAAUAUGCAAUAAUAUAGAAAAGAAAAGAAAACAGAGCAGGCUGUACGGCAAACGAAGGAAGUCCGUAGCGACAAUUGCAUGCCUUGGCACAAAAAGUCACUUUGGAACGCAUUGGAGCUCUAUUUUUUGAACUGUGUCAAAAUGCUAUUUUCGAAGUUUUAAAAAAUUCUAAAAACAAAUCAACAUGUUUAUAUGAAUGUAUAUUACACAUGUGUAAAUUUUGAUGUUGAAAUACGUAACCAUGUGAGUUACACAAAAAUGACAAAAUCGUGAUUUUGGAAAGAUGAACAGUGCAUGCAUUAUUCACUAUUUGGAAAUCACCAUUUUGUCAUUUUUGUAUAGGUCGCAUAUUUACUUAUUUCAUCACCAAACUUUACGCAUGUGUAAUAUACAUCCAUAUAAUCACAUAGAAUUUUUUUCAGAAUUUUUUGAAACCUUAAAUGUGAUUUGCAAAGUAUUUAAAAUAAGGUCCUCCAAUACACCCGGGUUCCAAAAAUCCACUCUCGCCUUGGCAUCAGGUUAGUUGAUCAUCCAUACCAUGGUGUUUUCGAAGAAUUGAUCAUCGCCUCCGUUACAUUGAAGCCACCAAAAUCAUUUGCACUUAUGUACCAGUCAUAACAUAGGAAAGUGGAGUUGUGCCGACUUGGUAGUCGAAGCAGGCGGCGAGGUGAGUUUGGGAUGCUGCAUUUUGACGUGAAGAAUCAAAGGAAGCGUUGCAGAGAGCAUGAGUGCACCACCGGUUAGAAAGGCACGAGCUGCAUCAGCAUGAAUAGUUACGCCACAUUCAGAGCAGUACACACAAGUUGUUCUCACAGACUGAAGUUUGCAACCCGGAUAUACCAGUGGAAAACCGCAAAGGUAAAUGCAUCGAUCGGCAUACUAUCGAUGUUACAUAUGAAAGACAGUGCCCUGGCAUCCAUCCUCGUCAUAUGCAAAGAAGCACAGUACAAGCAGAGAGUCUUCAUCUCCAAAAAGGACAAAAGGGAAACAUAGAGAUUGUAUUGGCAAAAGAAAGCAAAGUACUCUUUUGUUCACAAUUGCAGGUAAUCUCAUCAGACUGAUCAUCCACUCCAAAGUCCAAAGAAUAGAUUAUCAUCAGGCCAGCAGAGUUAACUGUAGCUCGAUCUGAGAUCUGGAAGCUUGCUCCAUCGUCUUCGUCCCAUAACUGAUGCCCAGAGGAUACAUGGAACUCCUGUGCCAUUCGCCGCAUAAAAACAUGACAAAUGCAUCUAAGGUCUAAGCUCAGCUUUGCAGCACAUCGGAGGUCCAUAGCAGCAAAACGUGGAAGGUUUGGCAGCACGAUAUUGUUGCUUAACAAUUAAAUGCAGCUUCGCAGUAGCAUCUUCUGCAGUACAGUCUAUAGUGUAGUGUAUUGGACCUUGAGACAACUUCCGCCCUGCCAAUUCAUAUCUACGCAGCAUUAGUCAGAUUAUGAAAAACACUACUCCCUCCGUUCCAAAAUAUAGCGCGUCCUCGGUUUCCGUGCUUCAACUUUGACCAUUAAUUUAAUCAACCAGACCGACUGCGGCGGGCGAAAAAAUUAUACCAAUGAAUUCGUAUUCAAAAAAAGUUUUUAAUUAUAUAAUUUUUGAUCCCGCCGCAGUCGGUCUCGUGGGUUAAAUUUAUGGUCAAAGUUGAACCUCGAAAAGCGUGGGCGCGCUAUAUUUUGGAACGGAGGGAGUACUUCUUUAUUGUACGUAUGGCUAAUUCAGACUGCAAAAUAGUACGUACAAUAUAACCUUUAUAUGUAGAGCAUAAAUAGCAAUGCACGUAAUAAGACAACACUGAACUGGAAUCUGAGGUUUCUUUAAUCUCUCGUAGGUACCAAUCGUCCCCUAAGUAAAACAAGAUCCGAGCGGUACCUAUGUAGCGUCAGAACUCGGAAGGCAGCAACCUGUGCGAGCCCAGCAUGUCAUCAACCAGAAAUUCGUGGUCACCGCAGAUCAUCUUCACUGUUACGGGAACAAGAAAACAAAAGAGAAGAGAGAUGUAUUAAUUUUAAGUGUAUAACAAACAUCAUCAGUAGAUAGCUACUACUACUACUACAAAACAAAACAAGACAGAAAUAGCUAGCUGACCUGUCGCUCCCUGUCUGCACAUCCGAGGAGCUCUCUCGUGCUGCUCCGUGCUCGGAAAGUACAGCUGAUGAUUCCCGCAUUGCUUCUUCCACCUCUACAACAUUUGAUCCUCCUACGGUGGUAGUACCCCGGUGUCGGAAUGACACUCGCAUCACAGGCUGGUUUGGGUGUGAUUUCACUUCCUGGUGCAGCUCAAAAUUAUUGAGCUCCCUGGAUAUUUGAUGUGAAAUCUCCUUGAUCUUUGGAAGGUGUUUGAUGCCAGUAAUCCGUACAGAGUUUUGGAAAGGUGAAAUGUAAAUAUAUCUCUGCAAUGUGGGGCAUGGUGCCCUCCUCGUCUCUCACCUUUCUCAGAUCAUUCCAGAAGUGCAUACGAAGUAUCCUGAGACUUGGAAAUGCUUCCGAUACAAACACUAGCUCCUCUCGAACAGCAUAAUUAAACGUGAGAUCAACGAGCAUCAGGUUGGGCAGUGCCCCUAGCAUCUCCAUGGUUUUUUCUCCUUCUUUUUCUACGCACCCACAGAAUAUAAUCUUCACCAAAUGCCUCAGACUACCAACCCAGCUGGGCACCUCUACAAUAUUUCCUUUCAAUCUCAGGGUCCUCACGAGGGGAGGAGCAAAGGAAACAGAACCCAGCCACUCGAUAUUGUCACCAUCCACAUGGAGAGAGUAAAGAUAAGGGAGCUUCCCAAUGGCCUCCCAGAAUAGCUUGCAUUUUUCCUCGGUUGUCCCUUCCGUAGUCACUCUCAAUUUCUGUAGCUGUGUAAGCUCACCUGUUGGCGCCGCCUCCUCACGCAGCGCCUCCUCACGCAGCGCCGCUUCUUCUUCUUGUGCUGCCUCGCACAACUCUCUUCUCUCAUGGUUUCUCUCAAGAACACAAGAACACACGCACACACACAACCAUGGAAGAUGACCCUCGGCUUUGCCCAGAACGCUCUCCCUUGGUGAGCAAAGACUACAUUAUUUUGCCUAGCCCUCACGGCCACUCUUUCUCAUUCAUCUGAUCACCUUAAAUACCAGUACAGAAAGACCCACACAUGCACUGGCCAGCCGCCACACUCGGCUGCUAACCCCAACUAAUCCGACUAACUUGCAUGCAUCCAUGCACGCACGAUCCACUCAGCCCGGCCACGCGCACGGCGCGCUCCUACACGCACGACGCGGCUGCCUCCAACGGCCCCUACUGCAUGCACUAACAAACUGGAGUCUAGCUAACUCAAACUACGUACACCAAUCACCACAGCCACCGUGUGGCUUAUUCCUAACAUCCCCAAGCUCUUCGAUUGCUCUGCUACUUGUUCUUUCGAUGUCCACGUACUCUAGUAUCUGUAACUCUUUUAAGUUACUGAUUCCUUGAGGCAACACCCUCUUUUUCUUCGCGUGCAACACUUGAAAACCAACCAGAGCAUACCAUGGGUAUACACAAAUAUAGCACCCAUAUGUUGGAAAUAUGAGCAAUUUACCAAAUGAUUUUAUUAACAGAAAUACUAGAUAAAGCAUGACUAAUAUAGCAAACAUAAAAUAAGUCAUGCGAUCUGACAGAGAGAGGGUAAAUAUCAUUUGCAUAUAUGAACUGUAACCAAGCAUAUUUAGAGUAGACAGUAGAGCAAGUUGCAUAUAUGAAAUAGAACCUAACAUAUGUAGAGCAAACACUAGAAUAAGGAACUGUGGCAGGACCUCUAACAGAAAGAGCAAGAACACGCACGGGACAGCAGCAGCAGCAGAAGCACUCGACUUGGGUCGACAUCCUCGCCAGCCAUGUUGUCAAAGAGGUUGUCGACGUCGGGCAAGAAGUUGUCGUUGGGGAAGUAGUCGUUGGUGUCCGGAGCGUCCGUGAUGAACCGGUCAGUAGUCGCGCAGCACGCUCCCCAAAAAUCUUAUCACCCUUCUCCCGUACAGAACUCAAAGAGGUGCGGUUUCGGAGGCCUACUAUCCCGACUCGCGGUGCACGCCGCAAGCCGGGAUGAGGAAGACAGUAGCAGAUCAGAGAUUCGAACAGGUGGCGAGAGGAAGUAGAAGUACUGGUGCCUUUCUCUGAGAGGAGCGACCUUCCUUUUAUAGGAGCAAGAGAAGGAGGCGAGAGGCCAGCGACAGGAGAUGAAGCAAAAGAGGGAGACGAACUAGUGAUAAACCAAGAAAUUAAAAGAUUCGGUUGCAAGAUCUAAAAAUAUACCUUCAAGCACUAACCUCCCCCCACAAUGGCACCACAAAAGAGUUAGUUGAUGAGGUGUUAGUACUGCUUACCUAGCCUCCCCGGCAACGGCGCCAGAAAAGAGCUUGAUGUCUACUAUGAAACUUUAUCCUAGUAGAUGUUGUUGGGCCUCCAAGUGUAGAGUUUUGUAGGACAGUAGCAAAUUUCCCUCAAGUGAAUGACCUAAGAUUUAACAAUCCGUGGGAGGUGCAGGAUGAAGAUGGUCUCUCUCAAACAACCCUACAACCAAAUAACAUGGAGUCUCUUGUGUACCCAACACACCAUAUAUAAUGUUAAAUUGUAUAGGUGCACUAGUCCGGCGAAGAGAUGGUGAUACAAGCGCAAUAUGGAUAGUAGAUAUAGGUUUUUGUAAUAUGAAAUUAUAAAAAUAGCAAGGUAACUAGUAGCAAAAGUGAGCAAAAACGGCAUUGCAAUGCUUCGAAACAAGGCCUAGGGUUCAUACUUUCACUAGUGCAAGUUCUCUCAACAAUUAUAACAUAAUUAAAUCAUAUAACAAUCCCUCAACGUGCAACAAAGAGUCACUCCAAAGUCAUUAAUAGCGGAGAACAAACUAAGAGAAUAUUGUAGGAUACGAAACCACCUCAAAGUUAUUCUUUCUGAUCGAUCUAUUGGGCCAUUCCUAUAAGUGUCACAAACAGCACUAGAGUUCGUCCUAAAAUAAUACCUUAAGACAAACAUCAACCAAAACCCUAAUGUCACCUAGUUACUCCAAUGUCACCACAAGUAUCCGCAGGUUUGAUUAUACGAUAUGCAUCACACAAUCUCAGAUUCAACUAUUCAAACCAACGCAAAGAAUUUUAAAGAGUGCCCCAAAGUUUCUAUCGGAGAGUCAAGACAAAAAAAUGUGCCAACCCCUAUGCAUAAGUUCACAUGGUCACAGAACCCGCAAGUUGAUCACCAAAACAUACAUCAAGUAGAUCACGUGAAUAUCCCAUUGUCACCACAGAUAAGCACAUGCAAGGCAUACAUCAAGUGAUCUCAAAUCCUUAAAGACUCAAUCCGAUAAGAUAACUUCAAAGGGAAAACUCAAUACAUUACAAGAAGGUAGAUGGGAGAAACAUCAUAACAUCCAACUAUAAUAGCAAAGCUCGUGGUACAUCAAGAUCGUGCCAAAUCAAGAACACGAGAGAGAGAGAGAGAGAUCAAACACACAGCUACUGGUACAUAUAUACCCUCAGCCCCGAGGGUGAACUACUCCCUCCUCGUGGCCACCGGUGAUUGUUUCCCCCUCCGACAGGGUGCCAGAACGGGCUCCCGAUUGAUUUUUCGUGGCUACAGAGGCUUGCGGUGGUGAAACUCCCGAUCUAGGUUUAUUUCUGGGGGUUUCUAUAUUUAUAGGAAUUUUUGGCGUCGAGGCCAAUUCAGGGGGGGGGGGUCCACGAGGAGCCCACAAGACCGGAGGGCGCCCCUAGGGGGGUAGGGAAUGCCCUCCACCCUUAUGGAGGCCUCGUGGCUCUUCUGGCCCAACUCUUUUGCCUCGGGGGCUUCUUAUGGUCCAUAAAAAGUCACCGUAAAUUUUCAGCUCAUUUGGACUCCGUUUGACAUUCCUUUUCUGCGAAACUCAAAAACAAGGAAAAAACAGAAACUGGCACUGGGCUCUAGGGGCGUGUUUGGUUGCCAUGCGCUACAGUACCGUAUUGCAUGCACUUCUCCACCCAAUCUGGCUAUGCAAAUGCAGCCUCAAAUGCACCAUCCGCAUGUUGUUUGGUUGGCUGCAUGAUCUCUUGCCUGCAUGGGCAGAGCCACACUGCCUGAUGUCUGGUUGCCUGCAUGUUAGUGGACAAACCCAAGGCAUGAUGUUUGGUUGUAUGCAACGCCUGGUGUGUGGUAACCUCUUUGUCUAGUUGGUGAGGUUACCACCACACUUCGGCAUCACACAUCAUAAGCACAGUAGAGUAUAAAAAGACAACAGAGUAUAAACAGAGCAUGAACUAGCAUAAUUCAGACAUAAGCAGUACCACACUUCAUAACAGUUCAACUCAUAAACCAUAAAUAGCAUAAUUCAGAUAAUACGCUGGAAAGAGGUGGCCCGGCCCUACUCCUUGGCGGCGAAGGCUUCGUCGUGCUUCCGGCACUUGUUGACGACCUCAAUGCCAUCAUCGUCGAAGAUGAUGACCUUGAGGGUGUCAGGAGUGAGGAGCUUGAACUUCACCAUGUAGCCGAUCUAGAUCUAAUGAACGACUGCGUAGGUGGCCCAACCCUGAUCCAGGGUCACCCUGUCGUUCAUCAGCUUGACCGUCACCUUCCAGGAGCAGCCGAUGUUAUUCCUGAGCUUAAACUCCGUCGGCACCGUGAGGAAGUGCUUGAUGAAGUCCAGGGGCAUGGGGAUGCACUCAAGCUUCGGUGCAAGGAUGACCUUGCAGAAGUGAGUUGGGCCAUCCUCCUGAUGGUAGUGGUCAUAGUUGCGGCCUUGUUGCUGGGGGGCUGCUCCAUGCCCUCGUCGUCGCCACCCUCAGGCGUCUUCGGGUCUUCCUCGGCGGUGGGCGGCAGCUCAACCUCGUCGGGCAUUGAGUGAAGGGGCUGCGUGCCCUUGCUGUCAACGGCCGGGAGCACCUCCGUGUCCUCGAUUUGCACACAAGUCAUGGAGUCAGGCAUUGCACAGAGUUCAUGGCUAAUUCAAUAGCUUGUAGUUAAAACGACAUGACUGUCACUCUCCUCCUCCUCUCCAUCCUCCCUAUAUUUACUCACCCUGCCCACCACUAUUUACACACCCCCUCUCUUCUCUCACUGUCAACCUUCCUCCUCUCCAUCGCCAUGAGCUCUAGCUCCAGCUCCAAUGCCAACCCCUUCCCUUGGGGUAUUGUCUGGAGGGCCUUCUUCCUCGGGUGGACUGCUGGUGGCCGGACCAAGUUCAAGAACACCAUGGAUGUGUGCUCGAACUUCGGCUCCAUGGCUGACAUGCAGAACGAAUCGAAUGCCGUGGUCAUGAAGGCCAGUAAAGCAGAGCUGAAGACGUUGAUUCCUGACCCAGCGAAGGGCGCGAUGGCAGUUGACAUCAUUCGCUGGGCCAUGAAUCAGGCCGUCUCCAUGACCCUAAACAGAGGAAGAAGUGGCGCAAGUAUAAGACCUACUAGGCUCCUAAUGACCGCUGUGCCGCAGUGUACUGGGAGACGGCUAUCGCGCCACCGGCGGUCAUCGGCGGGGAGCCUAAGGAGGAGGAAGAAGAGGCGGUGAACAUGCCUACUAGGGCGCCGGAGUCAGUCCUUCCUACCUGGAAGAUCGACCUCGACUCCGCCGAGGACGACAAGGACGACCCGCCGGCCCGCACGGCGAUGAAGAAGAAGAUGAAGGCCAGCGGCUCGACCAGCCGCUCCGCACGAUGGUGACGGCGGCCGCGGUCAGCCGGUGUCCGUUUUCUACCCCCUUUCCCCCUAUUCCCCUAUCCCCCAAUCCCGAAGUAUACCUUAUGCAUUCCCAUCUUGCAUGUAUGAACUCGUAUGAACUGCUAAGAACUAGUAUGAACUACCCCUAUGCUUAUUACCUCUAUUCCCCAUUCCCCUCCGCCGUGGAUCGAAUCUAUCGCCGUGGAUCGAAUCUAGCGUGCAUGUCGAAGAGAGAGAAGUUCUUACCGCCAUUGAUGGAAUCCGGUCGUCUUCUUCCUCUGCUCCGAUCCGCAGCCGCCGGUGAUGGAGUCCGGUGGUCUUCUUCCUCUGCUCCGAUCCGCCGCCGUCGGUGAGAGUUGGGAGAGUGGGGAAGAGUGGGGAGACGGAGCGGUGAGGUGCGGUGAGGCUAAUAAUUGUCGGUGCUUCGGGAAGCAAUGCGGCUUCUCGAGGGUGGCCGCGCGCGUGCAGCCACGCCCGCCCACGUGCACCGCUCGGGCCUGGCCCUGGAGAAACUACCGAUUCCUGGGUUCCCAGCGAGGCAGGCCCAGAGGUGCUUUAAGUUUCCUGCUAUGCAGGCCCAAUAGUAAAACCAGGCAACCAAACAGCCCGUUAGUUUCCCACGCGGGCCUGGUUGGGCUCGAUGCGGGCAACCAAACAUGCCCUAGGUUAAUAGGUUAGUCCCAAAAAUCAUUUAAAAUAGCAUAUAAAUGCAUACAAAACAUCCAAGAUAGAUAAUAUAAUAGCAUGGAAUAAUAAAAAAUUAUAGAUACGUUGGAGACGUAUCAGAUAGUUGAGACCAAGUCCUGCCUUGUGAUCCGCAAAAUAGAGUCCCCACUCUGUUAUGGACUAUUGGUAAUAGCAGUGUCACGAGAGCAUGCAGUAGUAAACUGAAUUAGAGUAGAUCCCAUACCACAACGCGAUGAGUAGUUGAUUCUCCAUCCUCUGUUCUCCAAGAAGUUAGUAAUCAUGGCAUUGGCACCAUGAAACUCCUCCGGGGCGAUGCUAGGAACCAACGUGGCAAUAACCCAUUCAUCACAAACCAUUGGGAGUUCUCCUCCAACAACCACGUAGCCUCUCUUCUCGCGGAGGGGACCGAGGGCAACAAUGGUGGUGCCAGGUAGGAGGUGUGGGUAAGGGUUGCACUGGUAGCACUCCAUGGGACCCAAGCUCGAGGUGGGCGGCUAUUUGCGUGGAGCAGAGGGGGUAGCAGAAGGCGAAGAAGCCAUAUCAUUUGCGGCAGUGUUUCGUAUAUGAGUAGGAGCUUGUGGUUUGGCCCAAUAUACCUGGGUAUUGUUUUGUUUAAAGAAACGAACUCUAGCGAUAUGGUUGUAUCUAAAACAAACUCGGCACCUGAUUUUAUUAUUACAGUUAAUAAGAUAAUGAUCAGGUCCAAGGCAUCGGUAACAGAACCACGUGAUGGGCCCAGGUGGAGGGACCUCCUAUAGGACGCUCGCUGCGUCAAACGGUCGACCCGUCGCACAGGGUGCACCGCGAUUGGGCUGGCCCAUUUGUAAUGCAGCGAGUGAAGUGGGAGCACGCGCCUGUACCGAUUGACACUGUAGCGGCCCGCACUGUAACAACCAGCCUUCUCUAAAAAAAGGCACUGCAGUGGACUGGCCUUCAGAGAUCUGUACUGUAUUUUUCAUAAAGACAAACAAAAAUUAGAAAGCACAAAAGUAUUUUGAAUUUGUGAAUUUUUUUUUGGAAAAAGGGAACAUUUUUUAAAUUCUGAACAAAUUUUGAAAACGCAAACAUUAUUUGAAGCUCGCCGAACAAUUUUUGAAUUUAUGAACAAAUUUUGAAAAUGAGAAUAUUUUCUGAAAUUAUGAACAAAAUUUUGAAAGUACAAACAUUUUUUGAAAUUCUGAACAUUUUUUUAAACACGAACAUUUUCAAAACGAUUUUGUUUUGGAAUUCUGAACAAAAAUUUAAAUUUUCGGAAGAAGUUCGAAAAGAAAAAUAAAAUUGAAAAAAUGAAAAAAAAACAAAACAAAAAACGAAAAUGUUCAGAAAUUCAUGAACAUUCUUUGAAAGUUACGAACAAUUUUUGAAACUGAAACAUUUUUUGAAGUCCCCAACAAUUUUUUUUAAGUUGUAAAUUUUUUGAAGUAAUACAUUCUGAACUAUGUUUUUAACACACAAAUAUUUUUGAAAAAUCUCAAACAAUUUUUGAAGAAUGCAUACUGUUUUGGAAUUUUGAAUUUUUUUUACAAACACGAACAUUUUUGAAAUUUUGAACACUGUUUUGAGAGCACGAACAUUUUCCGAAAAAUCCAAACAUUUUUUGAAAAAGAAACAAAAAAUUAAAAAACAAAAAACAAAAAAAUAAAAAAGAAAAAAGAAAAAAGAAAAAAGAAAAGGAAAACGAAACAGCAAUAGAAAAAGAAAGGAGAAUAAAAAACCGGUUCAAGAACCUUCUAGAAGGUUCCAAAAACCGGAAAAAACCAGCUGAGAACUUCUAGAAGGUUCCCAAAACCGGGAGCGUUGGAAUGUUUAAACGGGCCGGCCCGUUGCGUCGCUGCUCGCUCGCCUGUGCGAAGCGCCGGCUGUUUGACUCAACGAGCGGCAUAUAGGAUUUUCCCCAGGUGGAGCCAGGUGAGUCUCUGGCGCUACGGAUUCUGUUGGGUUGGGCUGGUUGGCUGCCCUGCCAAAAGUGAUCGGCCAACUCCUCGGUCGUUGGCCUGUGAAAGAUUCGAAAGUUGGUUGUGACCAAUGGGCUAAGAUCCGUUAUGCAUGGGAGGAGGUUGGGUGCAUGCGUGUUCAUCGUUGCGGGUGCCCAGAUCUAGAUCGUGAGUGGAGGCAGGAAUUGGAAUAUGAUUGGCACCGGUUAAGGGUGUGGUAUUAUGCUGAUGAUCAGUCUCACUAGUAUGAGAGGUGCCAUUGGCAAGUGCAUGUGUGAUGCAUUGAUAAACUUUCUUAACAGGGACAGGACGGUGCUGUUUUUACCUUCUUUUUGCGAGUCACCGUCGUCCAUUCGGCAUCUUGCUCAGAAUACCGUGAUUUUUCUUCAUAAUGCUAAUUUGCACCACCAUUACUCCAUAAGUGGAAAUAGCACUUGAACAUAGGGCAAUCAAACAGCUUCUUUCUGACCAUAUAGAAACCCACUGCCUUGGAGCAUACUGAGAAACGAUAUACUUUUCCAUGAAUAUGCAUAACUUCCAGAGAGUCAUAUGCACCACCCGUGCAUGAGGAGAGUGCAAGAAUGACAUUGAGUGGAACCACAUGGAAAGAAGAUCGGGAAAAUGACACCACCAACUUGAAACCAUAAGAAGGUGACACGGGGUUGACUGAAGACAAAAACAGAUCACGAACCUGCCCUCUGAAAUAAUGGCCAAAUGAAAAAUCCAAUUGAUGGGCGAUGGGAUGUGGAUCAUUGAAGGGAUCCAUAGGUUUGGUUUGGGGAUUUGUUGGUUGGAUGGGUGGUAUCAUGGAGCAGCGCCAUGGUCGCCUGAGGAGGGUGGGGGUGGCACUAGUAGAAAAAUGGUCAAAUGUCAAGCACAUUAGUGCCGGUUUGCUUUUGAGCCGGCACUAAUGUGUGCAUUAGUGCCGGUUCCAACGGCUAGCCGCCCGCUUUUAUUAGUACCGGUUCGUGGCCGACCUUUAGCACCGGUUCGGGUCACGAACCGGUACUAAAGUGAGUGGUGGCAGGAUUUUGUCAGUCCGGGGCCCCUGCAGCACCUUUAGUACUAGCUCGUGGCACGAACCGGUGCUAAAGGUCCUCCUACAUAAACCCUUCGUCCACCCGAGCUCGCUCUAUUCUUCCCCUUUCCCCUCUCUUCUCUGUUCUUCCCCUCUUCCUCUCGAGCUCAUCACACAUUUUGCCCAAAUUUUGUCAAGAUUUGAAGGCCCCCAUCCAUUCAAAUGAUCACAAAGGUUAGCAACUUUGUCCUUUCAUCUCUCAUUGCUAGAUUAGCUCUUGCAAUGCUUUGUAUAGUGAUUAAUUUAUGAGUUUAGUAAUUUGGGAGGAAAUAUAUGUGCUAGUAUUUGAUUUACAUGCAAUUUGAGGUAAAAAAUAACACUUAGUUUGCAUAUGUAGGUGUGGUUUACUUAGUGCAUACUAAAUCUCCGUCGUAACCACAGUCGAUCGCCCGCACCGUUCCGUCGCCAGCACCACCUUGUGGUGAGCCUCUUGUUCAUGAAUGUUUUACAUUACCAAAUUGAUGUUUGUGUGAUUUGGAUAUAUAGUUACUCGUAUAAUUAUCUUACCCGUAUGUUGUUUGUUAUACAUAGUGCCAUCGUUUUGAUAUCCGUCCCCGACGGCCCUCGUCCUUGUUAUGAUUCGGAUGUGGUAUAUUCUCUUUUAAAACUAGUUGUUGCAUUUCGUGUUUAUGACAAAUUAUGCCCAUCAAGUUGACAUAGAUAUUUUUGUCUAGGAGGUUUGUGAACCGGAAAUUCCAACCGACCCUAUUGUCGAGAGGUUAAAUUUAGUUGGAAGAGAAAACGAGUAUUUUAAAGAAAAAUUAAAAAGAAUUGAGGGGGAGAAGAUGGAAUUGGAGUUGCAUGUUGCCGAUGUCGUCGAUGAUCACAAGAUCAAGAUGGAGAAAAUGUGCUUGAAGAUUAGAAAGAUUAGAAAAUAUGCCAUUGAUAGUGAGGCUUGGUAUCAUUAUGCUGUUGGAUCAAUUGUUACCUUAGUUGCGAUCUUGAUCGCAUUUGUUGUUGCAUUUAAAUGCGUUAGCUAGAGAGUUAUUUGUUUGUUGCAUUUAAGUCUUGUAUGAACUUUAUGUAUGAACUUGUAUUAAUUUGGUCUUUUCGGUGUUGUGUAAUUAAGAUGAUCCGACAAUGGAUGUACAAUGACCGAUGCUCUCCCGAGUUCAUUAAUGGCGUGCAAACUUUUCUGCUUGUGGCUGGGGCAAACAAGCGGGCGGAUGGUUUUAUGCCUUGUCCAUGUUUAGUCUGUAAGAAUGAUCACAAUUACUCUACGUCAAGACCCAUUCAUGUCCACCUGUUUAAGUACGGUUUCAUGCCCCACUAUAAUGUUUGGACCAAGCACAGAGAAAGAGGGGUUAUGAUGGAAGACAAUGAAGAAGAAGAGGACGACGACAGCUAUCCUGGCCAUGGGUUCCCUGAAUACGGUGGUACAACAAUGGGGGAAGAAGCUGAGCUGGCAAUGCGGGAAGAAGCCGAAGAAGAGGCAUCAGAUGAGCCCGCUGAUGAUCUAGGUCGGGCCAUUGCCGAUGCAAAGAGAAACUGCGCAAGUGAUUUGAAGAAGAAGAAGAAGUUGCAGUGCAUGUUAGAGGAUCACAAGAAAUUGUUGUACCCGAAUUGCGAAGCUGACAAGAAAAAGUUGGGCACCACACUGGAAUUGCUGCAAUGGAAGGCAGAGAAUGGUGUAUCUGACAAGGGAUUUGGAAAGUUGCCGGUAAUGAUAAAUAAUAUGCUUCCAAAGGACAAUGAAUUGCCCGAGAGUACGUACGAAGCAAAGAAGGUUGUCUGCCCUCUAGGGUUAGAGGUGCAGAAUAUACAUGCAUGCCCUAAUGACUGCAUCCUCUACCGCGGUGAGUAUGAGGAUCUGAACGCUUGCCCAGUAUGCGGUGCAUUGCGCUAUAAGAUCAGGCGCGAUGACCCUGGUGAUGUCGAGCGCGAGCGCCCCAGGAAGAAGAUUCCUGCCAAGGUGAUGUGUUAUGCUCCUAUAAUACCACGGUUGAAACGUUUGUUCCAAAACAAAGAGCUUGCCAAGGCGAUGCGAUGGCACAGAGAAAACCAUAAGAAAGACGGAAAGUUGAGAGUACCCGCUAACGGGUCGCAGUGGAGAAAAAUCGAGAGAAAGUACGGGAAGGAGUUUGCAGAUGACGCAAGGAACGUAUGGUUUGGUCUAAGCGCAGAUGGCAUUAAUCCUUUUGGGGAGCAGAGCAGCAACCAUAGCACCUGGCCUGUGACUCUAUGUUUGUAUAACCUUCCUCCUUGGUUGUGCAUGAAGCGGAAGUUCGUUGUGAUGCCAGUGCUCAUCCAAGGCCCUAAGCAACCCGGCAACGACAUUGAUGUGUACCUAAGGCCAUUAGUUGAAGAACUCUUACAGCUGUGGAAUGGAACAGGUGUACGUGCGUGGGAUGAGCAAUGGGGGAAGAAUUUGACCUAAAGGCCUUGCUGUUCGUGACCAUCAAUGAUUGGCCUGCUCUCAGUAACCUUUCAGGACAGACAAACAAGGGAUACCGCGCAUGCAUGCACUGUUUAGAUGAUAGUGACAGUAUAUAUUUGGACAAUUGUAGGAAGAAUGUGUACCUCGGACAUCGUCAAUUUCUUCCGAGCAGGCAUCUCGUAAGAAAGAAAGGCAACCAUUUCAAAGGUGAGGCGGGUCACCGGACGAAGCCUCGCCACCGUACUCGUGCUGAUGUAUAUGAUAUGGUCAAGGAAUUGAAGGUAGUCUUUGGAAAGGGUCCUGGCGGACAACCUGUUCCGAAUGACGCUGACGGACGCACACCCAUGUGGAAGAAGAAAUCUAUAUUUUGGGACCUGUCCUAUUGGAAAGACCUAGAGGUCCGCUCUGCAAUUGACGUGAUGCACGUGACGAAGAAUCUUUGCGUGACCCUACUUGGCUUCUCGGGCGUGUAUGGGAAGACAAAAGAUACGCCUGAGGCACGGGAGGACCAGCAACGUAUGCAUGGAAAAGACGGCAUACAUCAGGGUCAUGCCAGCUACGCUCUUACCAAAGAAGGGAAGGAAAUAUUCUUUGAAUGCCUACUCAGCAUUAAGGUACCGUCUGGCUUCUCGUCGAAUAUAAAGGGAAUAAUAAACAUGGCAGAGAAAAAGUUCCAGAACCUAAAAUCUCAUGAAUGCCACAUGAUUAUGACGCAACUGCUUCCGGUUGCAUUGAGGGGACUUCUACCGGAUAACGUUCGAUUAGCCAUUGUGAAGCUAUGUGCAUUCCUCAAUGCAAUCUCUCAGAAGGUAAUUGAUCUAGAAAUCAUACCAAGGUUAGAGAAUGAUUUGGUGCAAUGUCUUGUCAGUUUCGAGUUGGUGUUCCCACCAUCCUUCUUCAACAUCAUGACGCACGUCCUAGUUCACCUAUGCGAAGAGAUUAACGUUUUGGGUCCUGUAUUUCUACACAACAUGUUCCCCUUUGAGAGGUUCAUGGGAGUCUUAAAGAAAUAUGUUCAUAACCGUGCUAGGCCAGAAGGAAGCAUCUCCAAGGGCCAUGAAAAUGAGGAGGUGAUUGAGUUUUGUAUUGACUUUAUUCCUGACCUUAAGCCGAUUGGUGUUCCUUAAUCGCGGCAUAAGGGCAGAUUGGAUGGAAAAGGCACGCUAGGAGGGGAUCAAAUAAUAUGUAUGGAUAGACAUUCUCUCACUGAAGCACAGUACACAGUUCUACAGAAUUCCGCCUUGGUGGCUCCGUAUAUGGAUGAACACAAGAAUUUUCUAUGCUCCAAACACCCAGAGUGGUCUGAUGACUGGAUUAUGUUGGAAAUAUGCCCUAGAGGCAAUAAUAAAUAAGUUAUUAUUAUAUUUCCUUUUUCAAGAUAAUCGUUUAUUAUCCAUGCUAUAAUUGUAUUGAUAGGAAACUCAGAUACAUGUGUGGAUACAUAAACAACAUCGUGUCCCUAGUAAGCCUCUAGUUGACUAGCUCGUUGAUCAAUAGAUGGUUACGGUUUGCUGACCAUGGACAUUGGAUGUCGUUGAUAACGAGAUCACAUCAUUAGGAGAAUGAUGCGAUGGACAAGACCCAAUCCUAAGCAUAGCUCAAAGAUCGUGUAGUUCGUUCGCUGAAGCUUUUCUAAUGUCAAAUAUCAUUUCCUUAGACCAUGAGAUUGUGCAACUCCCGGAUACCGUAGGAGUGCUUUGGGUGUGCCAAACGUCACAACGUAACUGGGUGGCUAUAAAGGUGCACUACAGGUAUCUCCGAAAGUGUCUGUUGGGUUGGCUCGAAUCGAGACUGGGAUUUGUCACUCCGUGUGACGGAGAGGUAUCUCUGGGCCCACUCGGUAGGACAUCAUCAUAAUGUGCACAAUGUGAUCAAGGAAUUGAUCACGGGAUGAUGUGUUACAUAACGAGUAAAGGGACCUGCCGGUAACGAGAUUGAACAAGGUAUCGGGAUACCGACGAUCGAAUCUCGGGCAAGUAUCGUACCGAUAGACAAAGGGAAUUGCAUACGGGAUUGAUUAAGUCCUUGACAUCGUGGUUCAUCAGAUGAGAUCAUUGUGGAGCAUGUGGGAGCCAACAUGGGUAUCCAGAUCCCGCUGUUGGUUAUUGAACGGAGAACGUCUCGGUCAUGUCUGCAUGUCUCCCGAACCCGUAGGGUCUACACACUUAAGGUUCGGUGACGCUAGAGUUGUUAUGGGAAAUAGUAUGUGGUUACCAAAGGUAGUUCGGAGUCCCGGAUGAGAUCCCGGAUGUCACUAGGAGUUCCGGAAUGGUCCGGAGGUAAAGAUUGAUAUAUUGGACGAAGGGUUUUGGAGUCCGGAAGUGUUCCGGAGGUACCGGGUGAUGACCAGCAUGACCGAAAGGUGUUUCGGGAGCCCCGACAAGUGUUGGGGGGCUUCAUGGGCCAAGGGAAGGGGGCAAACCAGCCCACUAAGGGGCUGUGCGCCCCCCUCACCUAUUCCCACAUGACCAGGGGGUUUGGGGCGCCCCAUCUAGGAUUCCCACCUCCUGGCUUGGGGGCCAAGUCACCCAAGGGGGAGAUCCCAUCUGCCCUGGCCGCCGCCCCCCCUAGGGGAAACCCUAGGGCACCUCCCCCUCCCCCUUGCCCCUAUAUAUAGUGGAGGUUUUGGGGCUGCCCAAGACACUAGAUGACCUCUUGCCUGGCGCAUCCCUCCCUCCUCCUACCUUCUCCUCUUCCUCCAUGGUGCUUGGCAAAGCCCUGCCGGAGAACCACGAGCUCCACCACCACCACGCCGUCAUGCUGACGGAGCUCUCCCUCAACUUCUCCUCUCCCCUUGCUGGAUCAAGAAGGAGGAGACAUCCCUGGGCUGUACGUGUGUUGAACACGGAGGUGCCGUCCGUUCGGCACUAGGAUCAUCGGUGAUUUGGAUCACGGCGAGUACGACUCCAUCAACCCCGUUCACUUGAACGCUUCCGCUUAGCAAUCUACAAGGGUAUGUAGAUGCACUCUCCUUCCCCUUGUUGCUAGAUUACUCCAUAGAUUGAUCUUGGUGAUGCGUAGAAAAUUUUGAAUUUCUGCUACGUUCCCCAACAGUGGUAUCAGAGCUAGGUCUAUUGCAUAGAUUCUAUGCACGAGUAGAACACAAAGUAGUUGUGGGCGUUGAUUUUGUUCAAUAUGCUUACCGUUACUAGUCCAAUCUUGAUUCGGUGGCAUUGUGGGAUGAAGCGGCCCGGACCAACCUUACACGUACGCUUACGUGAGACCGGUUCCACCGACAGACAUGCACUAGUUGCAUAAGGUGGCUGGCGGGUGUCUGUCUCUCCCACUUUAGUCGGAUCGGAUUCGAUGAAAAGGGUCCUUAUGAAGGGUAAAUAGCAAUUGGCAUAUCACGUUGUGGUCUUUGCGUAGGUAAGAAACGUUCUUGCUAGAAACCCAUAGCAGCCACGUAAAACAUGCAAACAACAAUUAGAGGACGUCUAACUUGUUUUUGCAUGGUAUGCUAUGUGAUGUGAUAUGGCCAAAGGAUGUGAUGAAUGAUAUAUGUGAUGUAUGAGAUGAUCAGGUUCUUGUAAUAGGAAUCACGACUUGCAUGUCGAUGAGUAUGACAACCGGCAGGAGCCAUAGGAGUUGUCUUUAUUUAUUUAUGACCUGCGUGUCAACUUAAACGUCAUGUAAUUACUUUACUUUAUUGCUAACCGUUAGCUGUAGAAGUAGAAGUAAUAGUUGGCGAGACAACUUCAUGAAGACACGAUGAUGGAGAUCAUGAUGAUGGAGAUCAUGGUGUCAUGCCGGUGACGAUGAUGAUCAUGGAGCCCCGAAGAUGAAGAUCAAAAGGAGCAAUAUGAUAUUGGCCAUAUCAUGUCACUAUUUGAUUGCAUGUGAUGUUUAUCAUGUUUAUACAUCUUAUUUGCUUAGAACGACGGUAGAAAAUAAGAUGAUCCCUCAUUAAAAUUUCAAGAAAGUGUUCCCCCUAACUGUGCACCGUUGCGACAGUUCAUUGUUUCGAAGCACCACGUGAUGAUCGGGUGUGAUAGAUUCUAAUGUUCACAUACAACGGGUGUAAGACAGAUUUACACACGCGAAACACUUAGGUUGACUUGACGAGCCUAGCAUGUGUACAGACAUGGCCUCGGAACACAGAAGACCGAAAGGUCGAGCAUGAGUCGUAUAGAAGAUACGAUCAACAUGAAGAUGUUCACCGAUGUUGACUAGUCCGUCUCACGUGAUGAUCGGACACGGCCUAGUUGACUCGGAUCAUGUAAUCACUUAGAUGACUAGAGGGAUGUCUAUCUGAGUGGGAGUUCAUAAGAUGAACUUAAUUAUCCUGAACAUAGUCAAAAGGUCUUCGCAAAUUAUGUCGUAGCUCGUGCUUUAGUUCUACUGUUUAGAUAUGUUCCUAGAGAAAAUUUAGUUGGAAGUUGAUAGUAGCAAUUAUGCGGGCUAGGUCCGUAAACUGAGGAUUGUCCUCAUUGCUUCAUAGAAGGCUUAUGUCCUUAAUGCACCGCUCAGUAUGCUGAACCUCGAACGUCGUCUGUGGAUGUUGCGAACAUCUGACAUACACAUUUUGAUAACUACGUGAUAGUUCAGUUAAACGGUUUAGAGUUGAGGCACCGAAGACAUUUUGAAACGUCGCGGAACAUAUGAGAUGUUUCGAGGGCUGAAAUUGGGAUUUCAGGCUCGUGCCCACGUCAAGAGGUAUAAGACCUCCGACGAUUUUCUUAGCCUGCAAACUAAGGGAGAAAAGCUCAAUUGUUGAGCUUGUGCUCAGAUUGUCUGAGUACAACAAUCAUUUGAAUCAAGCGGGAGUUGAUCUUCCAGAUGAGAUAGUGAUGUUUCUCUAAAGUCAUUGCCACCAAGCUGCUAGAGCUUCGUGAUGAACUAUAACAUAUCAGGGAUAGAUAUGAUGAUCCUUGAAAUACUCGCGAUGUUUGACACCGCGAAAGUAGAAAUCAAGAAGGAGCAUCAAUUGUUGAUGGUUAGUGAAACCACUAGUUUCAAGAAGGGCAAGGGCAAGAAGGGAUACUUCAUGAAACGGCAAAUCAGCUGCUGCUCUAGUGAAGAAACCCAAGGUUGAACCCAAACCCGAGACUAAGUGCUUCUGUGAUAAGGGGAACAGCCACUGGAGCAGAAUUGCCCUAGAUACUUGGUAGAUUAGAAGGCUGGCAAGGUCGAUAGAAGUAUAUUGGAUAUACAUUGUGUUGAUGUGUACUUUACUAGUACUCCUAGUAGCACCAGGGUAUUAGAUACCGGUUCGGUUGCUAAGUGUUAGUAACUCGAAAUAAAAGCUACGGAAUAAACGGAGAUUAGCUAAAGGUGAGCUGACGAUAUGUGUUGGAAAUGUUUCCAAUGUUGAUAUGAUCAAGCAUCGCACGCUCCCUCUACCAUCGAGAUUGGUGUUUGCGUUGAGCAUAGACAUGAUUGGAUUAUGCCUAUCGCAAUACGGUUAUUCAUUUAAGGAGAAUAAUGGUUACUCUGUUUAUUUGAAUAAUACCUUCAAUGGUCUUGCACCUAAAAUGAAUGGUUUAUUGAAUCUCAAUCGUAGUGAUACACAUGUUCAUGCCAAAAGAUAGUAAUGAUAGUACCACCUACUUGUGGCACUGCCACGUAAGUCAUAUCGGUAUAAAACGCAUGAAGAAGCUCCAUGUUGAUGGAUCUUUUGACUCACUCAUUUUUUGAAAAGUUUGAGACAUGCGAACCAUGUCUAUUGGUGUAUAUGCAUGAAGAAACUCCAUGCAGAUGGAUCGUUUGGACUCACUUGAUUUUGAAUCACUUGAGACAUGCAAAUCAUACCACAUGGGCAAGAUGACUGAAAGCCUCGUUUUCAGUAAAAUGGAACUAGAAAGCAAUUUGUUGGAAGUACUACAUUUUGAUGUGUGCAGUCCAAUGAGUGCUGAGGCAUGUAGUGGAUAUCGUUAUGUUCUUGCUUCACAGAUGAUUUGAGUAGAUGUUGAGUAUAUUUACUUGAUGAAUCACGAGUCUGAAUUAUUGAAAGGUUCAAGUAAUUUCAGUGUGAAGUUGAAAGAUCGUCGUGACAAGAGGAUAAAAGAUCUAUGAUAUGAUCAUAGAGAUGAAUAUCUGAAUUACGAGUUUGGCACAGAAUUAAGACAUUGUGGAAAUUGUUUCACAACUGAUACAGCCUGGAACACCAUAGUGUGAUGGUGUGUCCGAACAUCAUAACUGCACCCUAUUGGAUAUGAUGCAUACCAUGAUGUCUCUUAUCGAAUUACCACAAUAGUUUAUGGGUUAGGCAUUAGAGACAACCACAUUCACUUUAAUAGGGCACCACGUAAUUCCGUUGAGAUGACAUCGUAUGAACUAUGGUUUAAAGAAACCUAAGCUGUCAUUUCUUAAAAGUUUGGGGCUGCAACGCUUAUGUGAAAAAGUUUCAGGCUGAUAAGCUCGAACCCAAAGCGGAUAAAUGCAUCUUCAUAGGACACCCAAAACAGUUGGGUAUACCUCCUGUCUCAGAUCCGAAAGCAAUAAGGGAUUGUUUCUAGAAUCGGGUCCUUUCUCGAGGAAAAGUUUCUCUCGAAAGAAUUGAGUGUGAGGAUGGUGGAGACUUGAUGAGGUUAUUGAACCGUCACUUCAACUAGUGUAUAGCAGGGCACAAAGAGUUGUUCCUCUGGCACCUACACCAAUUGAAGUGGAAGCUUAUGAUAUUGAUCAUGAGACUUCGGAUCAAGUCACUCCCAAACCUCGUGGGAUGACAAGGAUGCGUACUACUUCAGAGUGGUACGUAAUCCUGUCUUGGGAGUCAUGUUGCUAGACAACAAUGAACCUACGAGCUAUGGAGAAGUGAUGAUGGGCCUGGAUUUCGAUAAAUGGCUCGAGACCAUAUAAUCCGAGAGAGGAUCCACAUAUGAAAACAAAGUGUAGACUUUGGAAGAAUUACUUGAUGGUCGUAAGGCUGUUGAGUACAGAUGGAUUUUAAAAGGAAGACGGACAAUGAUGGUAAAUGUCACCAUUAAGAAAGCUCGACUUGUCGUUAAGAAGUUUCCCGACAAGUUCAAGGAGUUGACUACGGUGAGACUUUCUCACUCGUAGCGAUGCUAAGAGUCUGUUGGAAUUAUAUUAGCGAUUACUACAUUAUUUAUGAAAUCUUGCAGAUAGGAUGUAAAAACAUUGCUUCCUCGACGUUUUUCUUGAGGAAAGGUUGUAUGUGAUACAACCGGAAGGUUUUGUCAAUCCUGAAAGAUGCUAAUAAGUAUGCAAAGCUCCAGCAAUCCUUCUGAGAACUGGAGUAAGCAUCUCGGAGUUGGAAUGUAUGUUUUGAUGAGAUGAUCAAAGAUUUUGGGUUUAUACAAAGUUUAUGAGAAACUUGUAUUUCCAAAGAAGUGAGUGGGAGCACUAUAGAAUUUCUGAUGAGUAUAUGUUGUUGACAUAUUGUUGAUCAGAAAUGACGUAGAAUUUCUGGAAAGCAUAUAGGGUUAUUUGGAAAGUGUUUUUCAAUGGAAAGCCUGGAUUAAGCUACUUGAACAUCGAGCAUCAAGAUCUAUAAGGAUAGAUCAAAAACGCUUAAUGGUACUUUCAAAUGAGCACAUACCUUGACAUGAUCUUGAAGGUGUUCAAGAUGGAUCAGUCAAAGAAGGAGUUCUUGCCUGAGUUGUAAGGUAUGAAGUUAAGACUUGAAGCCUAACCACGGCAGAAUAGAGAGAAAGGACGAAGGUCGUCCCCUAUGCUUAAGACGUAGGCUCUACAGUAUGCUAUGCUGUGUACCGCACCUGAAGUGUGCCUUGCCAUGAGUCAGUCAAGGGGUACAAGAGUGAUCCAAGAAUGGAUCACAGGACAGCGGUCAAAGUUAUCCUUAGUAACUAGUGGACUAAUGAAUUUUCUCGAUUAUGGAGGUGGUAAAAGAGUUCGUCGUAAAGGGUUACAUCGAUGCAAGCUUAACACCUAUCCGGAUAGCUUAGAGUAGAGAUACCGGAUACGUAUAAUGGAGCAACAAUUUAGAAUAGCUCCAAGUAGAACAGUUAUAUGGAAUAGCUCCAAAUAGAACGUGGUAGCUACAUCUAGGAGAUGACAUAGAGAUUUGUGAAGUACAUACGGAUCUGAUUGUUGCAGACCCGUUGACUAAAACCUCUCUCACAAGCAACAUGAUCAAACCCAGAACACAUUGAGUGUUAAUCACAUAGUGAUGUGAACUAGAUUAUUGACUCUAGUAAACUCUUUGGAUGUUGGUCACAUGGCGAUGUGACCUGUUAGUGUUAAUCACAUGGCGAUGUGAACUAGAUUAUUGACUCUAGUGCAAGUGGGAGACUGUUGGAAAUAUGCCCUAGAGGCAAUAAUAAAUAAGUUAUUAUUAUAUUUCCUUGUUCAUGAUAAUCGUUUAUUAUCCAUGCUAUAAUUGUAUUGAUAGGAAACUCAGAUACAUGUGUGGAUACUUAGACAACACCGUGUCCCUAGUAAGCCUCUAGUUGACCUGCUCAUUGAUCAAUAGAUGGUUACGGUUUCCUGACCAUGGACAUUGGAUGUCGUUGAUAACAAGAUCACAUCAUUAGGAGAAUGAUGUGAUGGACAAGACCCAAUCCUAAGCAUAGCUCAAAGAUCGUGUAGUUCGUUCGCGGAAGCUUUUCUAAUGUCAAGUAUCAUUUCCUUAGACCAUGAGAUUGUGCAACUCCCGGAUACCGUAGGAGUGCUUUGGGUGUGCCAAAUGUCACAACGUAACUGGGUGGCUAUAAAGGUGCACUACGGGUAUCUCCGAAAGUGUCUGUUGGGUUGGCUCGAAUCGAGACUGGGAUUUGUCACUCCGUGUGACGGAGAGGUAUCUUUGGGCCCACUCGGUAGGACAUCAUCAUAAUGUGCACAAUGUGAUCAAGGAGUUGAUCAUGGGAUGAUGUGUUACGGAACGAGUAAAGAGACUUGCCGGUAACGAGAUUGAACAAGGUAUCGGGAUACCGACGAUCGAAUCUCGGGCAAGUAUCGUACCGACAGACAAAGGGAAUUGCAUACGGGAUUGAUUAAGUCCUUGACAUCGUGGUUCAUGAGAUGAGAUCAUCGUGGAGCAUGUGGGAGCCAACAUGGGUAUCCAGAUCCCGCUGUUGGUUAUUGAAUGGAGAACGUCUCGGUCAUGUCUUCAUGUCUCCCGAACCCGUAGGGUCUACACACUUAAGGUUCGGUGACGCUAGAGUUGUUAUGGGAAAUAGUAUGUGGUUACCGAAGGUAGUUCAGAGUCCCGGAUGAGAUCCUGGAUGUCACAAGGAGUUCCGGAAUGGUCCGGAGGUAAAGAUUGAUAUAUUGGACGAAGGGUUUUGGAGUCCGGGAGUGUUCCGGAGGUACCGGGUGAUGACCAGCAUGACCGAAAGGUGUUUCGGGAGCCCCGACAAGUGUUGGGGGGCUUCAUGGGCCAAGGGAAGGGGGCAAACCAGCCCACUAAGGGGCUGUGCGCCCCCCUCACCUAUUCCCACGUGACCAGCGGGUUUGGGGUGCCCCAUCUAGGGUUCCCACCUCCUGGCUUGGGGGCCAAGUCACCCAAGGGGGAGAUCCCAUCUGCCCUGGCCGCCGCCCCCCCUAGGGGAAACCCUAGGGCGCCUCCCCCUCCCCCUUGCCCCUAUAUAUAGUGGAGGUUUUGGGGCUGCCCAAGACACGAGAUGACCUCUUGCCUGGCGCAGCCCUCCCUCCUCCUACCUUCUCCUCCUCCUCCAUGGUGCUUGGCGAAGCCCUGCCGGAGAACCACGAGCUCCACCACCACCACGCCGUCGUGCUGACGGGGCUCUCCCUCAACUUCUCCUCUCCCCUUGCUGGAUCAAGAAGGAGGAGACAUCCCCAGGCUGUACGUGUGUUGAACACGGAGGUGCCGUCCGUUCGGCACUAGGAUCAUCGGUGAUUUGGAUCACGGCGAGUACGACUCCAUCAACCCCGUUCACUUGAACGCUUCCGCUUAGCGAUCUACAAGGGUAUGUAGAUGCACUCUCCGUCCCCUUGUUGCUAGAUUACUCCAUAGAUUGAUCUUGGUGAUGCGUAGAAAAUUUUGAAUUUCUGCUACGUUCCCCAACAGAUUACACGUGAACAAACCAGGAGUUUCGCCGGCUAGUUGUAGACACGUACCAUGCAUGAAGCCUCUAUUGGAGAUGACCUGUACUCGCUGUCCCAGUUACCAUCUUCGAAUAUAAUGACUUGGAAAGGGUACGAGAUAAAUGGUAAUACAUUUUACACGAUCGCCGAAGAUAAGAAGAGCACCAACCAAAACAGUGGUGUCCGCUUUGAUGCAGAAACCAAGACGGGAAAGGAAACAUAUUAUGGUCACAUAGAGGCACUAGUAGAAAACGGGCCUAUUGUCCGGUUCAUAAGGGCUUUUUGUCCCGGUUCCUGAACUGGGACUAAAGGGUCGUUACUAAUGCCCUGACCCUUUAGUCCCGGUUCUAACUAGAACCGGGACAGAUGGGCCUCCACGUGGCCUGCGCACUGAGCCCAGGCAGGAGGGCCUUUGGUCUCGGUUCGUAGCACCAAUCGGGACCAAUAGGCCUCCACGCGUCAGCAUUUCUGUGGCUGGGGUUUUUUGUUUUUUUUGAAGGGGGGGGGGUUGGGGGUUUUGGGGGGUUAAUUUAGGUAUUUCAUAUAUUGUGUUAGCUAGCUAAUUAAUAGAGAGAAGUGUCCUCUCUUAUGUCCGUGCUUGGUCGACGCUACGUACUAUACAUACGUAUAGAGAGGACUAGACACGCUAGCUAGCUAGUAAGCAAACGAAGGAAACAGAAGAUCAUCAUGAACAUAUAUGCAUACAGAGAGAAGUGAUAUCGACCACCUCUCCUUCUCCGAGAGAUUGGUCGAACAACAAGUUCUCGUAUAUCUAUCGUCCGACACUACCGGCUACAUAUAUAUAAUAAUUAUCUCUUACAAAUAUAAUCUCCUACAUUAUGGAUGCAUGGUCCACAUAGUAUUCUCCGUCUUCAGCGAUCACGUGGUCAAGAAAGAAUGCCGCCAAUUCCUCUCGAAUUGCUCGCAUGCGAUCUGGUGCUAGGAGUUCAUUCCGCAUCCGAAACAUCUAAUUUGAAGAAGGGGGUCAAUACAUACAUACAUACAUAUAUAUAUAUAUAUAUAUAUAUAUAUAUAAAUGAAUGAAACUCAACACAAAUGAUGGUAAUAAAAUAAAAUUGUGAAUAUUGUUAUUUACGCACUUCAUAUUGUUCGUCAGUGUACCCGCCCUGCUCACAGGUCGUGUGGCAGAUGGACUCGCAAACGUAGUAUCCACAGAAAUCAUUCCCUUGUUCCUGCCACAACCACUUUACAAGAAAUAGAGGUCAAUCAAACUGAUAAGCAAGAAUGCCAAAUGCUAUUGAUGAAACUAGCGCUUGAAUCACUAGGAGAUGCGUGGAACAUGCUACUAUAGUACUUACUUUCGGGUGUCUAAUUUGCAGCUCCUUCGGCAGUCCCGGAGCUUUUUUGGUGAAUUUUCUCCAAACCCUGCCGAACAAAGAAAACAAUUAGUUGAUAUCAGGAAAUGAACAAAGUUGCUGAUAUGGUGGAUAAUGAUCGAUUUAACUCACUUCUUGAGGAUUUCAGUCAUGUCCGCAUACUCCUGGGGAUCUUUUCGUCUAGAGUCCAAGAUAGUUACUACUCCCUUCUAAAGAAUAAUCUCUAGGAGAAUAUAGUGGUAACUGCGCACGCAUGCAUAACUCAUCAAUUACAUUACUAUAACCUGGACUAAUAUAUAAGGGAAACCGAAUAUGCACAAGACAGUAACACUCACUUGAAGUUGUAAGGAAAGAGUAUUAUAUCUUUGUGUUCAUUUAUUUUGAAUGAUCGUAACAAGGUGGCCUCGGUUUCUUCGGGCCUUUUGUCAACCUCAUUUGCAUCUAUGAGAUAUGUGUUAACGAACCCAAUAUCACCGAUUUGUCUUUUCUUCAAUUCGGCGAUCUUCAAUCUGCAUAAUAUAGUGAGGAUAAUUAUAAAUACAUGCAAUGAAAGAGCUGAGCUAUAUAGAGAGACUUAAUGACAGAAGUAGUAGUACUUAUAGACAGUAGCAGGUGAUCGUUGUUUUAUCGAGGGCCAAUUGAUUGAAAAACUGAUAGAACUUCUCAAAUAGAAUAGGCAACAGUUCAAUUCCAAAGAGGUCCUGCUCCGGUUUAACUCUCGCAUACAAAGUACUCCUCCCCCCAGACUCUCUGCAGAUUUUCAAGUACCAAUCAUGCAAUCUUCGCAUCAUCGUUGAUAGAGAUUUUUCAUCUUUGACGAGAGGCUUCCCGUACUCGUAUCUGUGUAUCUGCACAUCCAUGGGAUCAUAAUGUACUUCGUCGGGCAGGUAAUCGUCAAGAUUGCUAUAACCGGGCACCAUCCUCGGAUCGACGCUAGGCACCUUGAGCGGGGGGCACGAUUGCUUCGCUUGUUCGCCGAGCUGGGUAAUUUGUUUCCCAACUGCUCGUCGUUCUUUCAGCCUUUGAUCACUGACUGUACUUCCCGACCGCUCUGCUUCGGCCCAUGUCUUUGCAAUAAUGCGCUCAUAGUUGCCUUUUAGCGGAGACUUGGGUGGUUUUGCCAGGGCAGCCAGAGUGCGCUUCACUUUCACCGGAUCUACCUUCUCCUCCGGAGGUGGAUGUCUCUUUGCUUUCAACCCUUGAAACCAGUCAUCCACCUCGGUUCGCGCGAUCCUCGCAUUCUCCUCCGGGGUCCUCUCAUAUGGUAACUUCUCUGGAGUCUUCAGAGAAGGACCGAAUCUGUAUGUCCUCCCGCCUCUGGCUGUACUGCUAGACGCCGGCCGAACAGACGGAGUGGCCGUCUUCUUUACUUUCUUACGAGGCGGAGGAGAAGGACUACGACGCGCCGGAGCAGCUGCCGGAGUGGCGGCGGGUAUCUUCCGCCCUUGCUGACGAGGCGGAGAAGGAGGAGGUUGGCUGCUCGGGCGCGCCGGUGCAGGCGGAGAAGGAGGCGGAGUGCCACCACGCGCCGGAGAAGGAGCCGGCCGAGGGCCCUGAUCGUCACUUGCCGGAGGAGGAGGCGGUGGAGGACGCGGAGUGCCCUGACUCGCCGGAGGAGGAGGAGGAGGCGGAGGCGUCUAGUUCGGAAGGUUGAUGAGCUCCUUCCACCAUAGGCAUGGAGUCUUCAGAGAAGAACCCAGCCGAGUCUCCCCUUCUCCGGUAGGGUAGUCAAGCUGGAGGUCCUCAAAUCCCUCCGUUAUUUCAUCCACGAUCACCUUAGCAUAUCCUUCUGGAAUCGGCCGGCAGUGAAAAGUUGCGCCGGGUUCAUUAGGAAAAACAAAGCCAACAGCCGCCUUGACCUUCAUAUUAAUCCAUUGCGUCAUAAGGUGGCAAUUUUGAGCCUCCGUGAUAGCAUCCACGGGAUAGCUGGUAGGAGCCGUCAAGACAAGCUGCGGCUGAAGCAGCUCGGUGGAAGCCACGCUGCUUCUCCGCUGAGAUGGCGGGGUAGCUUCAGGGGAAGCUUCGGCAAGUCGUUUUCUGCGAUUUGCUUCUCGUUCCUCUAUCGCUUGUACCCUUGCGUGCAGCGCCUGGAGUUCGGUCUGCUGCACUUUUUUCCUCCUCUCAUGGCUUUUGUAACCGCCUGCGUCCGGAAACCCAGCCUUCCACGGAAUGGAGCCUGGCGUGCCUCAUGUCCGUCCAGGGUGCUCAGGAUUUCCGAGGGCCUUUGUGAGCUCGUCGUUCUCUCUGUCUGGAAGGAACGUCCCUUUCUGCGCUGCAGCGAUAUAGUACCAAAGCUUCUUCAAGGGUAUGUCAAGUUGCUCAUCCGUCCAAAUGCACUUCCCUGUUACAGGGUCCAAGGUUCCGCCAGCCCCGAAGAACCAAGUCCGGCAACGGUUUGGCCAACUCAUUGUCUCUGGUUCGAUCCCUUUUUCAACCAGAUCAUUCUCAGCCUUGGCCCACUUAGGCCGGGCUACGAGGUAGCCACCUGACCCCGUGCGAUGGUGAAGCUUCUUCUUCGCAGCAUUUUUCUUGUUUGUCGCCGACAUCUUCUUACUCUUUUCCGAUGUCUUGUAGGCCACAAAUGCAGGCCAGUCAUCUCUGAUCUUCUCAUAUAUGCCCUUGAAUUCUGGUGUCUCUAUUUUCUUGACAAACCUAUUCAGGUCAUUCUUCCACCUCCUGAACAGGUCUGCCAUCCUCUUAAGAGCAAAAGACUUGAUUAAUUGCUCUUUAACUGGCUUCUCCGGAUCAUCCUCUGGCGGUAGGGUAAAAUUUGUCUUCAGCUUAGUCCAAAGAUCAUUUUUCUGCAUAUCAUUGACGUAAGACACCUCAGGGUCUUCUGUAGCCGGCUUGAACCAUUGCUGGAUGCUUAUCGGGAUCUUGUCCCUAACCAGAACCCCGCACUGAGCAACAAAUGCCUUCUUUGUUCGGAUGGGUUCAAUAGGUUGGCCGUCGGGCGCGAUUGCUAUGAUCUCAAACCUUUCAUCCGAGCUCAACUUUUUCUUCGGGCCUCAUCUCUUUACCUCAGUUGUGCUCGAUCCGGAGGGCUAGAGAAAGAGCAAAGACUUAAUUAAUAUGUGUACAUACCAAAACAAUGAAUGCAUCAAUUAGCUAGUCAGCACAGGCUUAACUAAUAUAUAUACCUGGCCGAACUCGGUUCGGUCAUCGGAGCCGUCAUCAUGGUCUCCUUCUUGCACCGGCAUUGGGUCACCGGAGCCGUCCUCACGUUCUUCUUCUUGCACCGGCAUUAGGUCACUAGAGCCAGCUUCUUCACCCUCUCCUUCCAGACCAUCGGUGUCGUUGAGAAACAACAAGACGACAUCACUUCCUUGUGCGAUUAUGUCCCUCAACAUCGCUUCGUUUGCUUCGUCUCGGGCGGUGUCCAUAGUUUCUACAAAUAUUUACAACAUGACAAUUAUUAUUCAAACAUGACAAAUGGAUAUAUUAGUGGCAAACGUAGAACUAGCUAGCUAAUCAUAGUAAGGAAUCAUAUAUAUUAAUUAGUGGCCUCGACGCUGCUUCUCUAGGGUUUGGGGUGGCCUCGACAACGCUUCAAGGGUUUGGGGUGGCCUCGAGAACGCUUCAAGGAGGGGGUAAUAUCGACCCCCCCACGUGUUGAAGCUAUCGGGAGGGGGUAUAUCGACAACGACGACACUACACCUAUGUCCCUCGAGGACCCUCGUUCCCGAUAAAAAAAAGAGGAAGAAGAAGAAAACAAAGAGGAGAUGAAAGAAUAGAGGAGAAGAACUCCUCUAUUCUUUCUUCUCCUCUUUCUUUUUCUUCUUCCUCUUCUUUUUUUAUCCUCUUCGUCCUCUCAUGUUCGAGAGGAUCGCCGAGGGGUCGGGAGGUUGCCUAGUGCCGAGCGAUCCUCGACCCCUCGAACCCUCGACCCUAGUUCCCGACCCUCGACCCCUCGGCGAUCCUCGACACCCUCGUUCCCGAUAAAAAUUAAGAAGAAGAAGAAGAAAAAAAGAAGAAAAAAGAGAGGAGAAGAUCGAAGAAAAAAAAGAAGAAAAAAAGAGGAGAAGAAGAAAGGAAUAGUGGAGAAGAAGAGAUUNNNNNNNNNNNNNNNNNNNNNNNNNNNNNNNNNNNNNNNNNNNNNNNNNNNNNNNNNNNNNNNNNNNNNNNNNNNNNNNNNNNNNNNNNNNNNNNNNNNNNNNNNNNNNNNNNNNNNNNNNNNNNNNNNNNNNNNNNNNNNNNNNNNNNNNNNNNNNNNNNNNNNNNNNNNNNNNNNNNNNNNNNNNNNNNNNNNNNNNNNNNNNNNNNNNNNNNNNNNNNNNNNNNNNNNNNNNNNNNNNNNNNNNNNNNNNNNNNNNNNNNNNNNNNNNNNNNNNNNNNNNNNNNNNNNNNNNNNNNNNNNNNNNNNNNNNNNNNNNNNNNNNNNNNNNNNNNNNNNNNNNNNNNNNNNNNNNNNNNNNNNNNNNNNNNNNNNNNNNNNNNNNNNNNNNNNNNNNNNNNNNNNNNNNNNNNNNNNNNNNNNNNNNNNNNNNNNNNNNNNNNNNNNNNNNNNNNNNNNNNNNNNNNNNNNNNNNNNNNNNNNNNNNNNNNNNNNNNNNNNNNNNNNNNNNNNNNNNNNNNNNNNNNNNNNNNNNNNNNNNNNNNNNNNNNNNNNNNNNNNNNNNNNNNNNNNNNNNNNNNNNNNNNNNNNNNNNNNNNNNNNNNNNNNNNNNNNNNNNNNNNNNNNNNNNNNNNNNNNNNNNNNNNNNNNNNNNNNNNNNNNNNNNNNNNNNNNNNNNNNNNNNNNNNNNNNNNNNNNNNNNNNNNNNNNNNNNNNNNNNNNNNNNNNNNNNNNNNNNNNNNNNNNNNNNNNNNNNNNNNNNNNNNNNNNNNNNNNNNNNNNNNNNNNNNNNNNNNNNNNNNNNNNNNNNNNNNNNNNNNNNNNNNNNNNNNNNNNNNNNNNNNNNNNNNNNNNNNNNNNNNNNNNNNNNNNNNNNNNNNNNNNNNNNNNNNNNNNNNNNNNNNNNNNNNNNNNNNNNNNNNNNNNNNNNNNNNNNNNNNNNNNNNNNNNNNNNNNNNNNNNNNNNNNNNNNNNNNNNNNNNNNNNNNNNNNNNNNNNNNNNNNNNNNNNNNNNNNNNNNNNNNNNNNNNNNNNNNNNNNNNNNNNNNNNNNNNNNNNNNNNNNNNNNNNNNNNNNNNNNNNNNNNNNNNNNNNNNNNNNNNNNNNNNNNNNNNNNNNNNNNNNNNNNNNNNNNNNNNNNNNNNNNNNNNNNNNNNNNNNNNNNNNNNNNNNNNNNNNNNNNNNNNNNNNNNNNNNNNNNNNNNNNNNNNNNNNNNNNNNNNNNNNNNNNNNNNNNNNNNNNNNNNNNNNNNNNNNNNNNNNNNNNNNNNNNNNNNNNNNNNNNNNNCGUCCCGGUUGGUGCCACCAACCGGGACCAAAGGCCACUUUUCAGCAGCCCAAAGGGCGGGAAGCGGCGGCCUUUGGUCCCGGUUGGUGGCAUCAACCGGGACUAAAGGGGUGGCAUUGGUCCCGGUUGGUGCCACGAACCGGUACCAAUGCCCCCUUUAGUCCCGGUUGGUGGCACCAACCGGGACCAAAGGCCUGUGCUGCCCCGAACCCAAAUAUUUAGUCCCACCUCGUUAGUUGAGAGGGACGCGCACCUGUUUAUAAGGUGCGGUGCGCCAUCCCUCUCGAGCUCCUCUCUAAACCAGGCUUUCGGGCCUAACACUGCAAUCUGUGCCUAUGGGCCUACUGGGCCGCCCGUGGGCCUGAAUCAUGGCCCAUGGUAGGGUUUCUAGUUUCAUUGAGGCCGUGGGGGCCCAAUAGGUGGCACUUUUUUUGUUUUUUUGUUUUUUUGUUUCUACUUAUAACUAAAUAUUUAUUGUUGCUAUAUUUAAAUUUUUUCCAGUUUUUUUGUUUUGUUUCCUGCAUUAUUUAUUUUCUUUUGUUUCUUGCUUUAUUUUUUAAUUCUUUUAGCUUUUAGUUUUAGAAAAAUUAUAAACUUUCUGUUAGUGCCAUUAGUUUUCAAAUUUGAAAACACUUUUUUAGUUUUUUAGUUUUCUUUGUUGCUUUAUUUAUUUUAUUUUGUUUCUUGCUUUAUUUUUUAAUUCUUUUUGCUUUUAGGUCAGCAAAAUUAUAAACUUUCUGUUAGUGCCAUUAUUUUUAGAAAAAAUAUAAACUUUCUGUUAGUGCCAUUAGUUUUCGAAUUUGAAUAGUUAAAAUUUGAAUUCUUUGAAAUUUGUGUGAAUCACAAGUUUGUGAUUGACUUUACUAAAAAAUGAACAUAGAUGCACCUAUAGAGAAAAUUCGACCUAAAUUCAUAGUUUUCAAAUGAACUCUGAAAAAGUUGGCAUAGCAUACUCGUCUGUUACAAAUUUGGCAUGGUAUCAUCAUAAUAGUUGCGGGAGAAAGUCUUCACUUUUUCUUCGGUUGUGUCAUUUGCUUAUUGCGCCGUAACCAUGGAUAAUCUUCAUCGUUUAUCAGGAUGCUUGGGUCAGCCUUGACAUUGAAGGGAGGAAUUUCAUGAAACCUUUCAUAAUCUUCAGACAUGUCUGUCUUGCCCUCCACUCCCAGGAUGUCCCUUUUUUCCUGAAAGAACUAUGUGGCGCUUUGGCUCAUCGUAUGAUGUAUUCGUUUCCUUAUCUUUUCUUUUUCUCAGUCUGGUAGACAUGUCCUUCACAUAGAUAACCUGUGCCACAUCAUUGGCUAGGACGAACGGUUCGUCAGUGUACCCCCAAGAUUUUUCAGAUCGACUGUUGUCAUUCCGUACUGUGGGUCUACAUGUACCCCGCCUCCUGACAGAUUGACCCAUUUGCACUUAAACAAAGGGACCUUAAAAUCUUGUCCGUAGUCAAGUUCCCAUAUGUCCACUAUGUAACCAUAAUAUGUGUCCUUUCCCUUCUCGGUUGUUGCAUCAAAGCGGACACCGCUGUUUUGGUUGGUGCUCUUUUGAUCUUGGUCAAUCGUGUAGAAUGUAUUCCCAUUUAUCUCAUAUCCUUUGUAAAUCAAUACAGUCAAAGAUGGUCCCCUGGACAACAAGUACAACUCAUCACAAACAGUGUUGUCACCUCUGAGACGUGCUUCCAACCAACUGCUGAAAGUCCUAAUGUGUUCACAUGUAAUCUAGUCGUCGCACUGCUCCGGGUGUUUGGAGCGCAGACUGUUCUUGUGUUCAUCGGCAUACGGGGUCACCAAGGUAGAGUUAUGUAGAACUCUGUAGUGUGCUUGAGACCAAGAAUGCCCGUCCCUGCAUAUUAUUGAGUCCGCUCCUAGCGUGCCUUUUCCAGUCAGUCUCCCCUCAUACCGCGAUUUAGGGAGACCUAUCUUCUUAAGGCCAGGAAUGAAGUCAACACAAAACCCGAUGACAUCCUCUGUUUGAUGGCCCAUGGAGAUGCUUCCUUCUGGCCUAGCGCGGUUACGGACAUAUUUCUUUAGCACUCUCAUGUACCUCUCAAAGGGGAACGUAUUGUGUAGAAAUACGGGCCCCAGAAUGACAAUCUCGUCGACUAGAUGAACUAGGACAUGCGUCACGAUAUUGAAGAAGGAUGGUGGGAACACCAGCUCGAAACUGACAAGACAUUGCGCCACAUCACUCCUUAGCCUUGGUACCAUUUCUGGAUCGAUCACCUUCUGAGAGAUUGCAUUGAGAAAUGCACAUAACUUCACAAUGGCUAAUCGGACGUUUUCUGGUAGAAGCCCCCUCAAUGCAACCGGAAGCAAUUGCGUCAUAAUCACGUGGCAGUCAUCAGACUUUAGGUUCUAGAACUUUUUCUCUAGGAUAUUUAUUAUUCCCUUUAUAUUCGACGAGAAGCCAGUCGGGACCUUCAUACUGAGCAGGCAUUCAAAGAAGAUUUCUUUCUCUUCUUUCGUAAGAGCGUAGCUGGCAGGACCUUCAUACUGCUUCUGAGGCAUGCCGUCUUUUUCGUGCAAACGUUGCAGGUCCUCCCGUGCCUCAGGUGUAUCUUUUGUAUUUCCAUACACGCCCAAGAAGCCUAGCAGGUUCACGUAAAGGUUCUUCGUCACGUGCAUCACGUCAAUUGAAGAGCGGACCUCUAGGUCUUUCAAGUACGGUAGGUCCCAAAAUAUAGAUGUCUUCUUCCACAUGGGUGCAUGUCCCUCAGCGUCAUUCAGAACAGCUAGUGCGCCGGGACCCUUUCCAAAGAUUACGUGUAAAUCAUUGACCAUAGCAAGUACGUGAUCACCGGUACGCAUGGCGGGCUUCUUCCUGUGAUCUGCCUCGCCUUUGAAAUGCUUGCCUUUCUGUCGACAUUGAUGGUUGGUCGGAAGAAAUCGACGAUGGCCCAGGUACACAUUCUUCCUACAAUUGUCCAGGUAUAUACUUUCAGUGUCAUCUAAACAGUGUGUGCAUGCGUGGUAUCCUUUGUUUUUCUGUCCUAAAAGGUUACUGGGAGCGGGCCAAUUGUUGAUGGUCACGAACAGCAACGCCUUUAGGUUAAAUUCCUCUUGUUCGUGCUCAUCCCACAUACGUACACCAUUUCCAUUCCACAGCUGUAAAAGUUCUUCAACCAAAGGCCUUAGGUACACAUCAAUGUCGUUGCCGGGUUGCUUAGGGCCUUGGAUGAGAACUGGCAUCAUAAUGAACUUCCGCUUCAUGCACAUCCAAGGAGGAAGGUUAUACAUACAUAGAGU